Molecule: unclassified non-coding RNA, 376 nt
Filed under: uncultured Caryophanales bacterium
Lineage: Bacteria; Bacillati; Bacillota; Bacilli; Caryophanales
Description: uncultured Bacillales bacterium contains 16S-23S intergenic spacer region
Source: RNAcentral
UCCGGCUUUCACCGGCUGUCUCGUUAGAGUGCCCAGCUCUACCUGCUGGCAACUAACAAUAAGGGUUGCGCUCGUUGCGGGACUGAACCCAACAUCUCACGACACGAGCUGACGACAACCAUGCACCACCUGUCUCCACUGUCCCGAAGGCCUAGCUUAUCUCUAAACUAUUCAGUGGGAUGUCAAGCCCUGGUAAGGUUCUUCGCGUUGCUUCGAAUUAAACCACAUGCUCCACCGCUUGUGCGGGCCCCCGUCAAUUCCUUUGAGUUUCAGCCUUGCGGCCGUACUCCCCAGGCGGAGUGCUUAUUGGGUUUCCUUCGGCACUGAGGGUGGUACCCCCCAACACCUAGCACUCAUCGUUUACGGCGUGGACUAC